RNAcentral lists this ribosomal RNA (254 nucleotides) under uncultured bacterium. Its description in RNAcentral is "partial 16S ribosomal RNA". It matches the Rfam family "Bacterial small subunit ribosomal RNA", at positions 524 to 776 of the family's 1533-position model. The record is from RNAcentral.
UACGUAGGGUGCGAGCGUUAAUCGGAAUUACUGGGCGUAAAGCGUGCGCAGGCGGUCUGUUAAGACCGAUGUGAAAUCCCCGGGCUUAACCUGGGAACUGCAUUGGUGACUGGCAGGCUUUGAGUGUGGCAGAGGGAGGUAGAAUUCCACGUGUAGCAGUGAAAUGCGUAGAGAUGUGGAGGAAUACCGAUGGCGAAGGCAGCCUCCUGGGCCGAUACUGACGCUGAGGAGCGAAAGCGUGGGGAGCGAACAGG